UUGGAGGGCAAGUCUGGUGCCAGCAGCCGCGGUAAUUCCAGCUCCAGUAGCGUAUAUUAAAGUUGUUGCAGUUAAAAAGCUCGUAGUUGAAUUUCGGGAUCAAUUAGUCGGUUGUGCCUCUGGUACGUACUGGUUUUAUUGGUUCCUCCCUUCUGACGAAACAUGAUGUCAUUAAUUUGGUGUCGUGGAGAAUCAGGACUGUUACCUUGAAAAAAUUAGAGUGUUUAUAGCAGGCUAACGCUUGAAUACAUUAGCAUGGAAUAAUGAAAUAGGACGUUCGACCCUAUUUUGUUGGUUUCUAGGAUCGACGUAAUGAUUAAUAGGGAUAGUUGGGGGCAUUAGUAUUCAAUUGUCAGAGGUGAAAUUCUUGGAUUUAUUGAAGACUAACUACUGCGAAAGCAUUUGCCAAGGAUGUUUUCAUUAAUCAAGAACGAAAGUUAGGGGAUCGAAGACGAUCAGAUACCGUCGUAGUCUUAACCAUAAACUAUGCCGACUAGGGACCGGAUGAUGUUAAUUUUUUAAUGACUCAUUCGGCGCCUUACGGGAAAC
RNAcentral lists this ribosomal RNA (549 nucleotides) under uncultured Glomeromycotina. Its description in RNAcentral is "SSU rRNA". It matches the Rfam family "Eukaryotic small subunit ribosomal RNA", at positions 548 to 1098 of the family's 1831-position model. The record is from RNAcentral. Lineage: Eukaryota; Fungi; Glomeromycota.